AUGGAUCCAGCAGAUGUGUUGAAUGUGAGGUUCCAUUAUGGGGGUGAGUUCAUCCGUAUUGGCCCAAGCCUUGAUUAUGUUGGGGGUGAUACUGCAAUGUCAGAGAUAGAGAGGGAUAAGCUAUCACUGCCUGAGCUGAAAGGAUUUCUAGGAGAUCAUUUAGCUAUGAAAGAGAGCAUGAAGUUGUAUUUCCUUAUGCCUGGGAGAGAGUUGCUAAAUGGGGUAUUGUUUUUAUAUACUAAUGAGCGUUGCAUGAGGAUGUCAGAGCAUAUUACAGAUGGAGGUGUUGCUGACAUAUUUGUGGAGUACAAUGGAGAGCAAGAUGAACCACAGGAAGAGGAUACAGAUGAACUGGAUGACCUGCUUAACAAUGGCAGUGAGCUUGAACCAGAUGCAGUUAUCACAGCAGAGGAA
This 414-nucleotide ribosomal RNA is filed under the name Triticum aestivum (bread wheat). RNAcentral's name for it is "partial small subunit ribosomal RNA". The record is from RNAcentral. Lineage: Eukaryota; Viridiplantae; Streptophyta; Magnoliopsida; Poales; Poaceae.